UGUUCUGUGGCUUAGUUGGUUAAAACACCGGUCUAGCAAAUACAAAGUCGUGGGUUCAAAUCCCACCAGAAUGC
This is a non-coding RNA of Aedes albopictus (Asian tiger mosquito), 74 nucleotides long. NCBI's taxonomy places the organism in Eukaryota, Metazoa, Arthropoda, Insecta, Diptera, Culicidae. The record is from Rfam.